RNAcentral lists this ribosomal RNA (473 nucleotides) under uncultured Legionellaceae bacterium. RNAcentral's name for it is "bacterial SSU rRNA". It matches the Rfam family "Bacterial small subunit ribosomal RNA", at positions 35 to 497 of the family's 1533-position model. The record is from RNAcentral. Lineage: Bacteria; Pseudomonadati; Pseudomonadota; Gammaproteobacteria; Legionellales; Legionellaceae.
GCUGGCGGCAUGCUUAACACAUGCAAGUCGAACGGCAGCAUGGCUUAGCUUGCUAAGCUGAUGGCGAGUGGCGAACGGGUGAGUAACGCGUAGGAAUAUACCUUUUAGUGGGGGACAACUCGGGGAAACUCGAGCUAAUACCGCAUAAUCUCUUCGGAGGAAAGCUGGGGACUUUAGGGCCUGGCGCUGAAAGAUUAGCCUGCGUACGAUUAGCUAGUUGGUGGGGUAAAGGCCUACCAAGGCGACGAUCGUUAGCUGGUCUGAGAGGAUGAUCAGCCACACUGGGACUGAGACACGGCCCAGACUCCUACGGGAGGCAGCAGUGGGGAAUAUUGGACAAUGGGGGAAACCCUGAUCCAGCAAUGCCGCGUGUGUGAAGAAGGCCUGAGGGUUGUAAAGCACUUUCAGUUGUGAGGAAGGUUCGGUAAUUAAUACCUGCCGGAAUUGACGUUAACAACACAAGAAGCACCGGC